Molecule: ribosomal RNA, 975 nt
Filed under: Microbacterium sp.
Lineage: Bacteria; Bacillati; Actinomycetota; Actinomycetes; Micrococcales; Microbacteriaceae
Description: bacterial SSU rRNA
Rfam family: Bacterial small subunit ribosomal RNA
Source: RNAcentral
UCGAACGGUGAACACGGAGCUUGCUCUGUGGGAUCAGUGGCGAACGGGUGAGUAACACGUGAGCAACCUACCCCUGACUCUGGGAUAAGCGCUGGAAACGGCGUCUAAUACUGGAUAUGUGGCGUGACCGCAUGGUCUGCGUCUGGAAAGAAUUUCGGUUGGGGAUGGGCUCGCGGCCUAUCAGCUUGUUGGUGAGGUAAUGGCUCACCAAGGCGUCGACGGGUAGCCGGCCUGAGAGGGUGACCGGCCACACUGGGACUGAGACACGGCCCAGACUCCUACGGGAGGCAGCAGUGGGGAAUAUUGCACAAUGGGCGCAAGCCUGAUGCAGCAACGCCGCGUGAGGGAUGACGGCCUUCGGGUUGUAAACCUCUUUUAGCAGGGAAGAAGCGAAAGUGACGGUACCUGCAGAAAAAGCGCCGGCUAACUACGUGCCAGCAGCCGCGGUAAUACGUAGGGCGCAAGCGUUAUCCGGAAUUAUUGGGCGUAAAGAGCUCGUAGGCGGUUUGUCGCGUCUGCUGUGAAAUCCGGAGGCUCAACCUCCGGCCUGCAGUGGGUACGGGCAGACUAGAGUGCGGUAGGGGAGAUUGGAAUUCCUGGUGUAGCGGUGGAAUGCGCAGAUAUCAGGAGGAACACCGAUGGCGAAGGCAGAUCUCUGGGCCGUAACUGACGCUGAGGAGCGAAAGGGUGGGGAGCAAACAGGCUUAGAUACCCUGGUAGUCCACCCCGUAAACGUUGGGAACUAGUUGUGGGGUCCAUUCCACGGAUUCCGUGACGCAGCUAACGCAUUAAGUUCCCCGCCUGGGGAGUACGGCCGCAAGGCUAAAACUCAAAGGAAUUGACGGGGACCCGCACAAGCGGCGGAGCAUGCGGAUUAAUUCGAUGCAACGCGAAGAACCUUACCAAGGCUUGACAUAUACGAGAACGGGCCAGAAAUGGUCAACUCUUUGGACACUCGUAAACAGGUGGUGCAUG